GCUUACGGCCAUACCACCCUGAGAACGCCCGAUCUCGGAAGCUAAGCAGGGUCGGGCCUGGUUAGUACUUGGAUGGGAGACCGCCUGGGAAUACCAGGUGCUGUAAGCU
This is a ribosomal RNA of Takifugu rubripes (torafugu), 109 nucleotides long. The record is from Ensembl. Lineage: Eukaryota; Metazoa; Chordata; Actinopteri; Tetraodontiformes; Tetraodontidae.